GGGAGACGUUGCAGACUUAAUCAGAUCCUGCUCGUUCGAAGUUGAUCCUGGCUUUACCGUUGGUCUUAGAAUGUCGAGUUGGUCGGAGAAGAAGAGCUCAGGUCGAUCAGUUUGGUCGUCUGGUCGAGGAUCUAGCCGAAGCUCCAUUUUGGACGUACGCGGGUUGAUCCGGUACACAGCUUGGUCAGUCUGUACGGUAUGGUCGGAAGAGUGAACCUCGGUUGAAAUGUUCGGGACGUCCUGAUCUGCAUGCUGGUCUGGUUCCACGGACUGAUCCACAGAC
Molecule: long non-coding RNA, 283 nt
Filed under: Brassica napus (rape)
Lineage: Eukaryota; Viridiplantae; Streptophyta; Magnoliopsida; Brassicales; Brassicaceae
Description: long non-coding RNA (BNAP_LNC026638)
Source: RNAcentral